Molecule: RNA transcript, 4881 nt
Organism: Elaeis guineensis (African oil palm)
Lineage: Eukaryota; Viridiplantae; Streptophyta; Magnoliopsida; Arecales; Arecaceae
Gene name: RNA-binding KH domain-containing protein RCF3
Source: RefSeq, a predicted model, not a curated record
GACCGGGUCUCAUAAUCCGUCCAUUUGCUCGUGUUACAGGAGUCUCUUUGGGUACCGCGGUUGGGCCUUGCAAUUUUUUUUUUUGUGUUUUUUCCAAUAGCACAAAAAGAAACCCUAGAGUCCAUAUAUCUUAAUAAAAGCGGGUCCUUUGAUUUCUUUCCGACUCCAGCUCCUUUCUAGGGUUCGCGGAAGCAACAGGGGCAAACGAGCUGGAGAAAAAGCAAGAUCUUGAGAAGUGAAAAAAAAUCAAGCUACUUAAUGGCCGGACAGAGAAACAACUAUGGUAAACGAUCCCACUCUCAGUCAGACUAUGCUGACAAUGGAGCAAGCAAGAGAAGGAAUCCUGGUGAAGAAAGAGAUCCCUAUGUUCCUGGGCCGGAAGAUACUGUUUAUCGUUACUUGUGUCCUGGAAGAAAGAUAGGAAGCAUCAUCGGGAGGGGUGGUGAGAUUGUGAAGCAACUGAGGUCUGAUACACAAGCUAAGAUUAGGAUUGGUGAGACUGUACCUGGAUGUGAUGAGCGAGUUAUAACCAUAUUUAGUACAAGCAGAGAAACGAAUUCUUUUGAAGAUACUGGUGAUAACAUUUGCCCUGCGCAAGAUGCCCUCUUUAGAGUGCAUGAGAGGCUUGUCACAGAUGAGGCACCUGGUGAUGAAGAUGCAGAUGCAGGUGCCCCUCAAGUUACUGUCCGUCUGCUUGUGCCAUCAGACCAGAUUGGCUGUAUUAUUGGGAAAGGGGGACAAAUUAUACAAGGCAUACGUAGUGACACUGGUGCUCAAAUUCGCAUUUUGAAAAAUGAACAUCUUCCUGCUUGUGCUAUCAGUAGUGAUGAGCUUCUGCAGAUUACCGGGGAAGCUGCAGUUGUUAAAAAAGCUCUUCUUCAAGUUUCAUCUCGCCUCCAUGAUAAUCCAUCUCGUUCACAACACCUGCUUGCUUCCAGCAUGUCCCAGUUAUACCCACUAGGUGGUCAGUUUGGGGUUCCAAGUGCCAGUGCUCCAGUUGUGGGUAUGGGUCCGUUAGUGGGUCCUUAUGGAGGUUACAAGGGUGAUGCUACAGGAGAUUGGCCAUCUUUCUACCCACCUCCAAGGGAUGAAAGUUCUGCAAAGGAGUUUAGCUUACGUCUAUUAUGUCCUUCUGUCAACAUAGGUGGUGUGAUUGGCAAGGGUGGGGCCAUUAUUAAACAGAUCAGGCAGGAAUCUGGAGCAUAUAUCAAAGUAGAUAGUUCCUCUGCGGAAGAUGACUGCAUAAUAUCUAUUUCAGCGAAAGAGUUCUUUGAAGACCCGAUUUCUCCCACCAUAGAUGCUGCAGUACGCUUACAGCCUAGAUGUAGUGAGAAAACUGAGAGAGAAACUGGUGAACCUUCAUAUACUACCCGCCUACUUGUAUCGACAUCACGCAUUGGUUGUCUAAUUGGUAAAGGGGGGACUAUCAUAUCUGAAAUGAGGAGAAGCACCAGGGCUAACAUACGCAUACUUUCAAAGGAAAACCUUCCCAAAGUUGCUGCUGAAGAUGAUGAGAUGGUUCAGAUCAGUGGCGACCUUGAUGUUGCCAGAAAUGCUCUUAUACAAGUAACAACACGGCUGAAAGCCAAUUUCUUUGAAAGGGAGAGUGCGCUGUCUGCAUUUCCAUCUUCUGUUCCCUACCAUCCCUUGCCAAGUGAUGCUUCUGACGGGUCAAAAUAUGGGAGCAAGGAUAGCAAGGCAUAUGGCCGUGGAUAUUCUUACUCUGGUGGAUAUGGUGCUUCAGGUGAUUUGAUGUCCUCUGACAACUAUGGAAGUUAUGGUGGUUCUCAGGGUGGUGGUAGCAGUUACAGCACAUAUGGUGGGUACUCUGCUCGUUCUGGAAGCACUGGGCUUUGCAGAGGAGAAGCAUUCAUGCCAUUAUUCCAUGCUAAGCAACUGUGUUGAAGGUAGGCGAUUUGAAUCAGCUUAAUUCAUGGGGCAACCAUUGCUUGAAGCUGGUUUGUGAGCUGUAUCAUGUUGUUGGAUAUACUUACAUGUGAGAUUGUUUUGCAGGUUCUGGGAACUACGGGUUUUUACUUAGAAGGCUGGUAAGUAUUCCGCUCAAUGGUCAUUAAUCACUUCUAAGAAAUCUUCCCACCUAACUUGGUCACAGGAUAGUCUAAACUUUAGACUCCAAAUCGUGACUUAGCUAGCCUGGAGAAGCCUUAUGUGCUUCUCUUUGGUGUAUGGUCAUAGUACGUGAUAUAUCAGCUUGCUUAAAGAGGGUUUUGAUGUUGUACAAAUGUGAACUGAUGCAAUUACCGACUUUUCUUUUAGUUCUGUGCUCCUACAUUCCUAACUAGAAUCAUCAUACUCAACCGCACUUGGCUUGAUUUGGUUAAACUUUAAGAAUAGAUUGGUUCAUUCCCUGUUUUUUCAUUUUUAAGAAAACUUGAUUUGAGUGCUUCUUGUUCCAGGUCAAAGGUGUCUGGUACAUGUGCAUAUACAUUAUGUAAUAUCUUAUAUGUGAAGUGUAUAAUAUGAUAUAUAUCUGCUUGGUAUUUAUUAUUUCAUGUAUUCGUGGUUCAUAUCUAUUUUUGUAUUGUUGAUUAGACAUGUUUUGUUCAAGAUUAAUAGUUUAUUCUUUUGGGUUCUUUUAUUGUCUGAUUUUCCUGCAUAGAUUAUUUCUUAAUUUAUGUUGUCUCUGGUACUUAAUGGUCGAACAGAAACAACAGAUCGUUUUACUUCUGUGAUAAAAAAUAUUAAUUUCUAGCGAAUCCAAGAACUGAUUUGAAGCAACCCAAUCUUGUCUGGUUUUGCUGUCCGGUUCCAGCUUGAUUAUUUCAUGUGUUCAAAAGUUGACAACUGGUUAGGAUUGGCUCCGUUUUGUGCUGACACUUGAUUCAGCCAUUUGCACUCCUACUCCAAGUCAGUAUAAGAUGAUUUGCUCAGAAAUAGGUAUUCUUUGUUGACAUUUUUCAUUAAUAAUAUUGUCUUGAUUGAUCUAUAACAUAUAAGAAUUAGGUAUAGGUUCAGAAAAAUCAAGAAUAGAUCGAUAUUUUAUUAAAAAUAUCAGUGAUUGUUUUUCAUAAAAUGAUCAUUCAUAUUAUUGAGUACUUGCAGAAUAUGUUAGACAUCAGGAUAGAUACUUAAUUUUCUGCUUUUGAAAUGCUAUUUCGCUCCCCUAAACUCUUCCAUUGGGAACUUCUGACGCUCUUUUUGUAAAAAUGAAUCUAGUGUUCUAUGGUUUUAAGCUGGCUGCAAUGUUGUAUUUUUGAAAGGUAGUCCUAUGAUCAGUUCAUAAUUGCCUUAAUGUGUCAACAUUUUGUCUGGGUUCCAUUCUUGCUUUCUGCAAAUCUCUCUCUUUACUUUGUUCCCACAAGUGUUCCUCUUACUCUUUUGCUUGUAAAACCCUCCUAUCAAUUCUCUUCUCUGUUGAAAUCUGUACUUUGUGUAUAUGCACAUGAAAUGUUCUUUAUGGUUAUGAAGCAAAUGUUGAAAUUGGUUAUGUUGAUACAUGAUUCUAAUUUUGCUAAUUGUUUGAUUCUUUAUGUGAAACUGUAAUGGGCAUGAAAGAAAGGUCCUGUGAUGAGUCCUGAAACCAGUUCUCUCAGUCGUAUUUAGAGGUAUAUAGGCAGAAGCUAAAACAAGAUGUUAGAUGGGAUCCUUUAAUUACUUGAAACUACUAUGAUCUAGCAUACUUAACGCAUUUUUUACAAAGAAAUGUUAUACAUUAUGCUAAAAAGGAAGAUUUAAUGAUGUUCAUGCUAGGAGAGUACUUCGUUUCACCAUCCUGAUUAAAUUCUAAAGUACAAUAAUCUUGCUGUUUGACUGAAGAUUAAUGGUUUUGUUCAAUCAUAAUUAUUUUCUAAUGUCUUAGUUAUUUGAAUUUUGCAAUUGCCUUUCUUUUUUAGAUUUUGAUUUUUUUCCCCCUAUUUAUGAUUGCCUAACGAGCCCACACACAUAAUAAACCCCAAAUAGAAGCACACACAGAGGUGCGUGUAAAGCCCUAGGAAAAACAACAGCAACGAAAACCAAAACCAGGAGAUCUAAUGGAAAAUAUCUUAUUCUCAUUGCAGAUACUUUCCAAAUAUACUCGAGACACUUCCUGAUACCUCCUCUAAGUAUGAGGGUUGCUUUCUUUUUUUAUUUAGUGAUAACAUUUUAAUGAUGAAUGAUCAAUUUUUUAGUCUAUAAUAUUAGUAUCAUUAAUAUUAAAAUGGAGUAUGGAUUGAGACCUAUAAAUUUGAUAAUGAUCAAAUAUUGAGCUUGCAAAAGUUGGUAUGUGAUACGAUUGUUUUAAAGUGUGGACUACAUUAUUUUGCUAAUGUGAUAUGCUUUUAAAGCAAUAAAUGCUUUUUCUUUUUUUACAUCCAGUCGUAUAUAUUGAUGUGUAUGUCAUACACAUACCUCCAUACAUGCAUACAUACAUACACAUAUGCCCAUGCAUACAUACAUACAUGCAUACCAUAUUGAUGUAUUGUACCAUUUCUUACUUUUCAGGGUUUGCUAUGUUGGUGUAUUUGUGUCUUGUCAUAUCUGCUUCCCUUGCUUGUUUGCAUAAUAUUGUGCACUUACAUAUUCAUGUAUUGUAGCCGUACCAUAUCGUUGCAGGUUUUGCCAUAUUGGUGUAUCUGCUUGUUUUGCAUGAUAUCGCAUAUAGAUGGAAGGACAUACUAGUAUAAAUGGCAAGAACUUUUUUGGUUGAAUGUCAAUUUCUUUAAGAUUAGUUUUAUUGUUAAUGAAUUUUGGAUCCUAUGUAAGAAUAUGUCCGUUCAAUAUAAUGUAGAGAAGAAAGCAUCAUUUUGUCAAAGCUGUCAUUAUUAUUGAUAUUCAAGUUCCUGAUUUUCAUUUGAUUUUUUAAUCUUCAACAACUCUGCUAGGAGCCUUUUACAGUUCUUUAAUGGUGUAUAGAGAUCUGCCGCUGCAUAAUUCCAAUCA